RNAcentral lists this ribosomal RNA (275 nucleotides) under uncultured bacterium. RNAcentral describes it as "partial 16S ribosomal RNA". It matches the Rfam family "Bacterial small subunit ribosomal RNA", at positions 523 to 796 of the family's 1533-position model. The record is from RNAcentral.
AGACGGAGGGCGCAAGCGUUGUUCGGAAUUACUGGGCGUAAAGCGCGGGCAGGUGGUCUGUUAAGUCUUCUGUGAAAAUCCGGGGCUCAACCCCGCGAAAUGCAGGUGAAACUGGCAGACUGGAGACCGGUAGAGGCUAGCGGAAUUCCUGGUGUAGCGGUGGAAUGCGUAGAUAUCAGGAAGAACACCUGUGGCGAAGGCGGCUAGCUGGGCCGGUUCUGACACUAAACUGCGAAAGCGUGGGGAGCAAACAGGAUUAGAUACCCCGGUAGUCC